Long non-coding RNA from Schistocerca piceifrons (Central American locust), 572 nucleotides. RefSeq lists it as uncharacterized. The record is from RefSeq and is a predicted model, not a curated record. Lineage: Eukaryota; Metazoa; Arthropoda; Insecta; Orthoptera; Acrididae. The transcript has 3 exons.
GUGUUAUCUAUGGCUGAUUGUUCUAUUGUUGCAAAGAAUAUUGAAGUCAACAUUGUUAUAGCUCAUAAUAAUUCGUUUUGUUGAGAUUUUUAAGGUGUGUACAUGUAACACCCGUAACUAUGGAAUUGCCCAGUUGAUGUCGUAACAUGGGUUGUGGAAGCGAUUUCAGUGGCCACUGCAGAAAUGCAUGCCUGAUAGCAUGUAGCCACCGGCAGCAAAAGCAGAGCUUCACGCCGUAACGUGUGCCUCACCUGGCAUGACCAUGAAACAUCCAUCACUAAGCAUAUGGCAGUCAAUGUGAUGAACAGAAGGAGGCUUUGGUGGGUAGUGCUACAGAGAAGAAAUUGAACAUGACAAUAUAUAAACAUUAACAUAAAAUUAAACAGUUUCACUGAGUACAUUUAGUUAGGCUUUAGAUAAAUAUUGUUUACCUCACACAAAAGCAAGUACACAAAUUGCAACCAUUUGCUUCAUUAUGUUUCUUUUGCUACAGUGCUACCUCAUGUUCACAAAAAUACUUCUCUUGGUAAAUACUUUAUGAGUCAACAAAAAAGCUUUCUAUUAAUACAAAA